CUCCCCUGGGCCUGGCCGGUGCAGCUUCCCUUCCUGCUCCCUUCUGCUUUCUCAAAAAGUCUCUUCUCUUUGCCUUUUUACGUUAUCGAGCAGCAAGAUCGGAAGAAGGAGCUAGAUAGCACUGGCUCUCAUACCCUGGUUUUGUGCACCGGGAAACUGAGGCUCGGAGAAGAGAGAAGUCCAUGGAAGCCAAAGAACCCAAGGCCCACAAAAAUGCACACAGGUGAAGCAAGAAUCCCCCCUAAGCCCCCAAGUGACCACAGCAGACAGACAGGCUCGGGUCUGUGACCCACAGGCCCAGGUGGGCCAGGCUGCAGGAUGGAGGAUCUAUGUGUCUGAAGGCUGGGAGCUCGUUUUCCUGCCUGGUAGAGAUUCCUGGGUCCCCAGGAGAUGAGCACUUUCAUAAUGCCCCCUGGAACCCCCAUAUGGCCAGAGAUGGGGUCCCAGACCCUGAAGACACUGAGUCUCCCCAUGGGAAGAGACCCUACCCAAGGCCACCAAGGGACUGAAAACUAUCCUGCCAGCCUGGCUGUCUUCCACGGUGCAGUCGGCAGUGGCCCAAGGGAGCAAGACGGUCCAAUCCAAAUGCCCAAGGUCACCAACUGCAUGGAAAACAAUGGGCAACAGGUCCAGCCAUGGCCGGAGCCAGAACAAAGGACUGGCACUUCCUCGCAUUCAGGCCCCUCCUUCAUGGUCUGCCAAGGCCAGAGGAUGGAGGAAACCUUCAUCAUGAGGCAGGGAGGUUGUGUCGGCUGGUCUCAGAGAGCUGCAGCUCCCUGUGUUGACAGAGGAGCAGAAAGAGGGACCAGCUGCUGGAGGCCCAGCUCAGCCUGCUGGGAAGCAGGGAGACUGGGGGGAUCCGAGACCAGUCCUCCCACCUUCCUGGAUCACUCAAACCGGGGUAUCUCCCACCUGCUCCUCCUCUCCAUGGCCCCAGCAUCUCCCCUCUGAUCUCCCCUCCACAUUGUGGCUAUUCAGUCUUCAGAAAACAUUAGGAUCCACCACUGCUCUGCUCUGAAGCCCUCUAUGGCUCCCCAGUGCUCCCAGGAGGAAGUUCAAGCUCUUCGGCCCUUCAAGAUUCAGUCCUACAACUUUAAUCUUCCCGUGACUCCCAGGCGCCCCAGGUCCCCUCCCCCUGAGAGUCAUGCCCCUGUCCAUCCCACCUGGAGUGCCCUCUGCCCCUCCUCCCCACUCCUCUCCUUAGGGUUGGGCCUAAAUCUUUUCCCUGCCCAGAAGCCUCCCUGACUGCUCCAGCCCAUGCUGGGUCCCUUCUUCUGAGCUCUACGCCCCAAAUAAAUCCAAGAAUCAUCUGCGUCAGAGGCUUGAGGAUAGGAAAGGUAGCAGAAUACAACAGUUACUAAUAGGGCAUUAUGUAAAAAUGUGGAUGUGUAACCGAUGUGAUUCUGCAAUCUGUAUUUGGGGUAAAAUUGGGAGUUCAUAACCAACUUGAAUCUAAUGCAUGAAAUAUGAUAUGUCAAGAGCUUUGUAAUGUUUUGAACAACCAAUAAAAAAAAAAAAAAGAA
This is a long non-coding RNA of Marmota monax (woodchuck), 1523 nucleotides long. RefSeq lists it as uncharacterized. The record is from RefSeq and is a predicted model, not a curated record. Lineage: Eukaryota; Metazoa; Chordata; Mammalia; Rodentia; Sciuridae. The transcript is spliced from 3 exons.